Molecule: long non-coding RNA, 302 nt
Organism: Cynoglossus semilaevis (tongue sole)
Lineage: Eukaryota; Metazoa; Chordata; Actinopteri; Pleuronectiformes; Cynoglossidae
Exons: 2
Source: RefSeq, a predicted model, not a curated record
AGCACAAACAUGGCAGCGAUCACACCACAGUAGAUCCCUACGAUCACCAUGGUCGGCGGCAGGGCCUGGAAUGAGAGGAAGAAAAAAAUGAGCAUGCAGUGUGGAUUGGAAACUGUUUUUGGGGGUGGAAGAAAAACAAAGGAAGAAGACGUGCAGGUUGAUGGAUUAUGGAAGCAGCUGUGAAGGUCAUUCCACUCGACGAUGGUCCAUAUAUCAAGUGCUAAUAAUUAGGUGCUCAAUUUGCUGAGGAAGAAUACUUGCCUAUUUUCUUAAUGACCCAUUUAAAAUUAAAAUGAGGGAAA